Cynoglossus semilaevis (tongue sole) is the source of this 71-nucleotide small nucleolar RNA. RefSeq annotates it as small nucleolar RNA SNORD19. NCBI's taxonomy places the organism in Eukaryota, Metazoa, Chordata, Actinopteri, Pleuronectiformes, Cynoglossidae. The transcript has a single exon. The record is from RefSeq and is a predicted model, not a curated record.
UAGAAAUGAGGAAAACACACAAGUCUUGAUUUGUUUCUGAAGACUUCUAAUCCAACUCUGAUCUUGUUGGC